Molecule: long non-coding RNA, 1130 nt
Filed under: Anas platyrhynchos platyrhynchos (common mallard)
Lineage: Eukaryota; Metazoa; Chordata; Aves; Anseriformes; Anatidae
Description: lncRNA (ENSAPLG00000021926.1)
Source: RNAcentral
GGGGGGGGGAGGGAUUUUCCCCUUCACCUCCCCCCCAGCUCUCACCACACGGCGACCCCAGAGAGACCCCACACACACCCCGCGCCCCCUCCGAGCCCCCCGACCCCCAGCACUCACCCGGCCCGCCAGGGGACGGGCAGAGCCGCUAAGGAUCUGCUCGAAAAGCCGUGGGGGGCUGUCGCCUGCCGUGUGUGUGUGUGUGUAUGGGGAAGGAAGGGCAGCGUUUGGGGGUGCCGGAGGACGCCGCGCGCCCCCCUUUCGGGCCGCCGCUGUUUGUUGGUGUGAGACGGCGCCGCCGGGGGAGGAGGGGCCCCAACAGCUGAGAGGAUGUAAACAGAAGGGCACGUGACCGACCCCUCCGCGCCGGCUCCCAGAGGGGAAGGGAUAAAGGGGGGGGGUUGGAUUCGGCCCGCGAUUGGCGGCGCUCGGAGAGAGCGAGGGCCAAUGGGAGGCCUCGCCUCCGCGGCUGUCGUCAUCAGUCGCUGGGGCACGAGGGGAGGCUUCCCGCCGGGGGGCAGAGCCCACAUGCAAGCGAGAGGCUGAAGGUUUUGAGCUGUGGCCAACGCUUGAGUAGUGAUGGGACAGGAUUUCUAAAAGUCCUGAGACAUGUGCUACAUCAAAAUGUGGCUGUUAAGGGCCCGGGAGUGAGCAUUAUAGGGGGUUGGGGGCCUUACUUUUUGCUGGCCCUAAGAAGAGAAUGUUUUUUUCCACAAAGAAUUUUUGGACAGAUUUUGCACAUGAACAUCAGAUUAGGAAGGUCAUUGAGCCCUCCUCUCUCAAAGCUGAAAAGAAACUUCAAUAUUGAGGUCUAACAGAAAAUUCUACCCAGUCAAUUAUGGUUCAACUAAUGCCUUAUCCAUCUUCAAAACAGAAUUAAGGUGCAUAUUUUCUGUUGCAGUAACUUGCAUCUUGAUGAGAAGCUCUAUAUUAAAGCACAGUGAACUUCCAUAAAACAACAUUUAUUUAAACUAAUGUGCCCCCUAAACUUCAUUAUUCUUUCAAAGUGUUUUUUGUUUGUUUUCUAUUUAUUUUCUGUGCAGAUUUAACCAUUACUUAUUCUUUCAGUAUUUUGUCCUGAUGUUCUGUUAUUUUUUUAAUGAUCGUACAAAUAAAGUAUGAAGUAGAUGACA